This 1233-nucleotide ribosomal RNA is filed under the name Clostridioides difficile. RNAcentral describes it as "partial 23S ribosomal RNA". It matches the Rfam family "Bacterial large subunit ribosomal RNA", at positions 93 to 1339 of the family's 2925-position model. Lineage: Bacteria; Bacillati; Bacillota; Clostridia; Peptostreptococcales; Peptostreptococcaceae. The record is from RNAcentral.
UAAACUUUGAUCCGAAGAUUUCCGAAUGAGGAAACUCACUUAGAGUAAUGUCUAAGUAUCAUUAAGUGAAUACAUAGCUUAAUGAGGGGAACUCAGGGAACUGAAACAUCUAAGUACCUGAAGGAAGAGAAAGAAAUUCGAUUCCGUAAGUAGCGGCGAGCGAACGCGGAUUAGCCCAAACCAAUAAAGUUUUCUUUAUUGGGGUUGCGGACAUAUCAUAACGAAGAGAUAUCGUAAUUGAAGAGGUUUGGAAAGACCCACCACAGAAGGUAAUAGUCCUGUAUGUUAAACGAGAAGACUUUAGAUAUGAUCCAGAGUACCACGGGACACGUGAAACCCUGUGGGAAGCAGGAGGGACCACCCUCCAAGGCUAAAUACUACCUAGUGACCGAUAGCGUAUAGUACCGUGAGGGAAAGGUGAAAAGAACCCCGGGAGGGGAGUGAAAUAGAACCUGAAACCCUGCACUUACAAGCUGUGGAAGCACAUUUCUUGUGUGACCGCGUACUUUUUGUAGAACGGGCCAACGAGUUACGUUAAGUAGCAAGGUUAAGCACUUAAGGUGUGGAGCCGUAGCGAAAGCGAGUUUUAACUGAGCGUUCAGUUACUUGACGUAGACCCGAAACCGGGCGACCUACCCAUGAGCAGGAUGAAGCGAAAGUAAAAUUUCGUGGAGGUCCGAACCCACGAGCGUUGAAAAGCUCGGGGAUGACUUGUGGGUAGCGGUGAAAUUCCAAUCGAGCCCGGAGAUAGCUGGUUCUCCCCGAAAUAGCUUUAGGGCUAGCCUCAAGGUGAGAGAUACGGAGGUAGAGCACUGAAUGUCCUAGGGGGUAUUGCACCUACCGAAGACUAUCAAACUCCGAAUGCCGUCAUCUUAUACUUGGGAGUCAGACUGUGGGUGAUAAGAUUCAUAGUCGAAAGGGCAACAGCCCAGAUCGUCAGCUAAGGUCCCUAAAUGUAAGUUAAGUGGUAAAGGAUGUGGGAUUGCACAGACAACCAGGAUGUUGGCUUAGAAGCAGCCACUCAUUCAAAGAGUGCGUAAUAGCUCACUGGUCGAGUGAUCCUGCGCCGAAGAUUUCCGGGGCUAAAACUUACUACCGAAGCUACGGCAUCAGUAAUGAUGGGUAGGGGAGCUUCCCAUACGGGUUGAAGCAUGACCGUAAGGACAUGUGGACAGUAUGGGAGUGAGAAUGUUGGCAUGAGUAGCGAGAUGUGGGUGAGAAUCCCACAGGCCG